This 1992-nucleotide ribosomal RNA is filed under the name human gut metagenome. RNAcentral describes it as "bacterial LSU rRNA". It matches the Rfam family "Bacterial large subunit ribosomal RNA", at positions 1 to 1991 of the family's 2925-position model. The record is from RNAcentral.
UUAAAUUUGUAAGGGCGUAUGGUGGAUGCCUUGGCAUUAGAAGCUGAUGAAGGACGUGACUAACUACGAUAUGCUUCGGGGAGAUGUACGUAAUCUUUGAUCCGGAGAUUUCCGAAUGGGGGAACCCACUAGUGGUAAUGCACUAGUAUCACAUAAUGAAUAUAUAGUUAUGUAGAAAGCAACCCAGUGAACUGAAACAUCUUAGUAACUGGAGGAACAGAAAGAAAAAUCGAUUUCCUUAGUAGUGGCGAGCGAAAUGGAAAGAGCCCAAACCAACUUUAGAGUUGGGGUUGUAGGACCUCUCUAUAAGAGUUACAAAUUCAUAACAUAGUUGAACUUUUCUGGAAAGUUAGACGAAACAAGGUGAUAGUCCUGUAAACGAAAUGUUAUGAACUCUUUGAGGUAUCCUGAGUACAACGAGACACGAGAAAUCUUGUUGGAAUCUGCGGGGACCAUCCCGUAAGGCUAAAUACUCUCUAAUGACCGAUAGUGAACAAGUACCGUGAGGGAAAGGUGAAAAGAACCCCGGGAGGGGAGUGAAAUAGAAACUGAAACCGUAUGCUUACAAAAAGUUCGAGCACAUUAAUGUGUGAGAGCGUGCCUUUUGCAGAAUGAACCGGCGAGUUAUUGUAUUAUGCAAGGUUAAGUCGAACAGAUGGAGCCGAAGCGAAAGCGAGUCUGAAUAGGGCGCUUAAGUAUGAUGCAAUAGACCCGAAACCGAGUGAUCUAGCCAUGAGCAGGUUGAAGUUGGGGUAAGACCCAAUGGAGGACCGAACCGAUAUGCCCGGAAACGCGUACGGAUGACUUGUGGUUAGCGGAGAAAUUCCAAACGAACUCGGAGAUAGCUGGUUCUCCCCGAAAUAGGUUUAGGCCUAGCCUUGAUUGAAUCUGCCUGGAGGUAGAGCACUGAAUGUGCGAUGGCGUCGUCUAGAUGUACUGAGUACAAUCAAACUCCGAAUGCUGGGUAGUACUAAUCAGGAGUCACUGUAUGGGUGAUAACGUCCAUACGGGAGAGGAAAAGAAUCCGGAUCGCCAGCUAAGGUCCCAAAAUUUGUGUUAAGUGGGAAAGGAUGUAGAGUUGUCAAAACAGCUAGGAGGUUGGCUUAGAAGCAGCCACCCUUUAAAGAGUGCGUAAUAGCUCACUAGUCGAGUGACACUGCGCCGAAGAUGUACCGGGGCUAAACACAAUACCGAAGCUGCGGACUUGCAUGUAAGUGCAAGUGGUAGGGGAGCGUUCUAAGUGCUGAGAAGGUAGACCGUAAGGACUGCUGGAGCGCUUAGAAGUGAGAAUGCCGGUGUGAGUAACGAAAAUUGGGUGAGAAUCCCAUUCACCGUUUGACUAAGGGUUCCUGGGUAAAGUUCGUCUUCCCAGGGUAAGUCAGGACCUAAGAUGAGGCUGAAAAGCGUAGUCGAUGGACAACAGGUUGAUAUUCCUGUACCACCUAUAUGACUGAAGGAGUGACGGAGAAAGCUAGUGAGAGCCAGUUAAUGGAUUCUGGUCUAAGUGCGUAGGCUAGUAUGUUGGCAAAUCCGCAAUACUAUAACAGCUGAAACAUGAUGGGGAAGAGAGUCUUCGGACAAUCGAACUUUCAUGAUGCUAUGCUUCCAAGAAAAGCUUCUAGGGUUAAUCGUAUAGGUGCCUGUACCGACAACCGACACAGGUGGUCAAGGAGAGUAUCCUAAGGUGAGCGAGAGAACUAUGGUUAAGGAACUCGGCAAAAUGACCCCGUAACUUCGGGAGAAGGGGUGGUCUAGCGAUAGACCCGCAGUGAAUAGGCCCAGGCAACUGUUUACCAAAAACACAGGUCUCUGCUAACACGUAAGUGGAUGUAUAGGGGCUGACGCCUGCCCAGUGCUGGAAGGUUAAAGAGAUUAGUUAGUAUGACGUAAGUCGAUAAUACGAAGCUUUGAACUGAAGCCCCAGUGAACGGCGGCCGUAACUAUAACGGUCCUAAGGUAGCGAAAUUCCUUGUCAGGUAAGUUCUGACCCGC